GCUGGGUGUGGUGGCUCACCCCUGUAAUUCCAGCACCUGGGAGGCUGGGGCGGGUGGAUCACCUGAGGUCAGGAGUUUGAGACCAGCCUGACCAACAUGGUGAAAACCUGUCUCUA
RNAcentral lists this non-coding RNA (116 nucleotides) under Nomascus leucogenys (northern white-cheeked gibbon). Lineage: Eukaryota; Metazoa; Chordata; Mammalia; Primates; Hylobatidae. The record is from Rfam by way of RNAcentral.